ACAUUCUGAUUCUGUCGCCAAUUCGUAAUCGCUGCCAGCGCGGCCGUAAAUAAGCAGGUAAGGUGUAUUCAUUGUCAAACCUUGUGUAAGGGAUGUUGCACUGUCACUGUGUCGUGCCUGAGCAUACUUCGUUUUCCUUGUCCAUACAUGGUGAGCAUUGAUCCCCGUGAUUUGUGAUGCUGCCUGCAGGAUGGGGCGUCACUACCUGGGCCCAGUGGAAUACCUGCAGUACAUCAGGGAGAACAAGCAGGUGUGGACCAUGGUAGGCUAUAGUGGCAUACAGGAGUACAUGUGAUGGAUGUGUUUACAAUUAUCCCUUGAUACACCCAGGAUACUACAGAAUGUCAGUGCAGCAGACUCAUGGUAUGGAAGUCAACAUUUUCAUUCACGGUAUACACGUCGGGAAGCUGGCCCUGUGGGUGGCCAUUGCAUUGCCAGAGGACCAAUACCCCACAAAAGCAUGCAACUAUGCCAGAGGCAGGGUUGUAAAAAGUACCUGACCAUGUAUAUGAUGUAGCACCUCAUGUCCCUUAGUAGCAACUUUUGCCUGUGCUCACCAUAUAUGACACUCUUACUGACCAAC
This 583-nucleotide long non-coding RNA is filed under the name Volvox carteri. Its description in RNAcentral is "long non-coding RNA (VCAR_LNC000074)". The record is from RNAcentral. Lineage: Eukaryota; Viridiplantae; Chlorophyta; Chlorophyceae; Chlamydomonadales; Volvocaceae.